RNAcentral lists this ribosomal RNA (253 nucleotides) under uncultured bacterium. RNAcentral's name for it is "partial 16S ribosomal RNA". It matches the Rfam family "Bacterial small subunit ribosomal RNA", at positions 524 to 776 of the family's 1533-position model. The record is from RNAcentral.
UACGUAGGGGGCAAGCGUUGUCCGGAUUUAUUGGGCGUAAAGAGCGUGUAGGCGGCCAUACAGGUCCGUUGUGAAAACUCGAGGCUCAACCUCGAGACGUCGAUGGAAACCGUAUGGCUAGAGUCCGGAAGAGGAGAGUGGAAUUCCUGGUGUAGCGGUGAAAUGCGCAGAUAUCGGGAAGAACACCCGUGGCGAAGGCGGUUCUCUGGGACGGUACUGACGCUGAGACGCGAAAGCGUGGGGAGCGAACAGG